AGAGUUUGAUCCUGGCUCAGGAUGAACGCUAGCGGCAGGCUUAAUACAUGCAAGUCGAGGGGCAGCAUGGUGGUAGCAAUACCACUGAUGGCGACCGGCAAACGGGUGCGGAACACGUACGCAACUUACCCAUAACUGGGGGAUAGCCCACCGAAAGGUGGAUUAAUACCCCGUAACACUUAUUGGUGGCAUCACCGAAAAGUUAUAGCUCCGGCGGUUAUGGAUGGGCGUGCGGCUGAUUAGGUAGUUGGUUGAGGUAACGGCUCACCAAGCCUUCGAUCAGUAACUGGUGUGAGAGCACGACCAGUCACACGGGCACUGAGACACGGGCCCGACUCCUACGGGAGGCAGCAGUAAGGAAUAUUGGUCAAUGGACGCAAGUCUGAACCAGCCAUGCCGCGUGAAGGAUGAAGGCCCUCUGGGUUGUAAACUUCUUUUACAGGGGAAGAAAUCUCUUUUUUUCAAGAGAGUUGACGGUACCCUGGGAAUAAGCACCGGCUAACUCCGUGCCAGCAGCCGCGGUAAUACGGAGGGUGCAAGCGUUAUCCGGAUUCACUGGGUUUAAAGGGUGCGUAGGAGGGCAGGUAAGUCAGUGGUGAAAUCUCCGAGCUUAACUCGGAAACUGCCGUUGAUACUAUCUGUCUUGAAUACCGUGGAGGUGAGCGGAAUAUGUCAUGUAGCGGUGAAAUGCUUAGAUAUGACAUAGAACACCAAUUGCGAAGGCAGCUCACUACACGAGCAUUGACUCUGAGGCACGAAAGCGUGGGGAUCAAACAGGAUUAGAUACCCUGGUAGUCCACGCCCUAAACUAUGGAUACUCGACAUACGCGAUACACUGUGUGUGUCUGAGCGAAAGCAUUAAGUAUCCCACCUGGGAAGUACGACCGCAAGGUUGAAACUUAAAGGAAUUGACGG
This 915-nucleotide ribosomal RNA is filed under the name uncultured soil bacterium. Its description in RNAcentral is "bacterial SSU rRNA". It matches the Rfam family "Bacterial small subunit ribosomal RNA", at positions 8 to 916 of the family's 1533-position model. The record is from RNAcentral.